AAUAGUACCCGGGUAGUCCACGCCCUAAACGAUGCUCACUAGGUGUUGGGGAAGCGAUUCCUUGGUACCGUAGCUAACGCGUGAAGUGAGCCGCCUGGGGAGUACGGCCGCAAGGUUAAAACUCAAAGGAAUUGACGGGGACCCGCACAAGCGGUGGAUGAUGUGGAUUAAUUCGAUGCAACGCGAACAACCUUACCUACCCUUGACAUGUCCGGAAGCCUGCUGAAAGGCGGGGUGCUCGAAAGAGAACCGGAACACAGGUGCUGCAUGGCUGUCGUCAGCUCGUGUCGUGAGAUGUUGGGUUAAGUCCCGCAACGAGCGCAACCCUUGUCCCUAGUUGCUACGCAAGGGCACUCUAGGGAGACUGCCGGUGACAAACCGGAGGAAGGUGGGGAUGACGUCAAGUCCUCAUGGCCCUUAUGGGUAGGGCUUCACACGUCAUACAAUGGACGGUACAGAGGGUUGCCAACCCGCGAGGGGGAGCCAAUCCCAGAAAGCCGUUCGUAGUCCGGAUCGCAGUCUGCAACUCGACUGCGUGAAGUCGG
This 545-nucleotide ribosomal RNA is filed under the name uncultured bacterium. Its description in RNAcentral is "bacterial SSU rRNA". It matches the Rfam family "Bacterial small subunit ribosomal RNA", at positions 777 to 1329 of the family's 1533-position model. The record is from RNAcentral.